Molecule: ribosomal RNA, 494 nt
Filed under: uncultured bacterium
Lineage: Bacteria
Description: bacterial SSU rRNA
Rfam family: Bacterial small subunit ribosomal RNA
Source: RNAcentral
GAUGAACGCUAGCUACAGGCUUAACACAUGCAAGUCGAGGGGAAACGAUAGAGAAAGCUUGCUUUUUCUAGGCGUCGACCGGCGCACGGGUGAGUAACGCGUAUCCAACCUGCCCAUCACUUGGGGAUAACCUUGCGAAAGUAAGACUAAUACCCAAUGACGUCUCUAGAAGACAUCUGAAGGAGAUUAAAAGAUUUAUCGGUGAUGGAUGGGGAUGCGUCUGAUUAGCUUGUUGGCGGGGUAACGGCCCACCAAGGCGACGAUCAGUAGGGGUUCUGAGAGGAAGGCCCCCCCACAUUGGAACUGAGACACGGUCCAAACUCCUACGGGAGGCAGCAGUGAGGAAUAUUGGUCAAUGGACGAGAGUCUGAACCAGCCAAGUAGCGUGCAGGAUGACGGCCCUAUGGGUUGUAAACUGCUUUUAUAAGGGAAUAAAGUGGGAGUCGUGACUCUUUUUGCAUGUACCUUAUGAAUAAGGACCGGCUAAUUCCGUG